RNAcentral lists this small RNA (30 nucleotides) under Bombyx mori (domestic silkworm). RNAcentral describes it as "ovarian small RNA-14116". The record is from RNAcentral. Lineage: Eukaryota; Metazoa; Arthropoda; Insecta; Lepidoptera; Bombycidae.
CGAACGUUGCAGCGAGACCAUCAACGCUGA